UGAUGAAGAUAGAUGAAUGGAUGUAUCUCUUUUUACGAUGCCGUUUCAUGACAUCCUUCUUUAUGAUAUUUUGGAUUAUGUUCAUACCCAUUUUGUAUGAACUGCUCCGUCUUAUUAAAUAAAAAAGGAGUCCUGAGAGAGACAUUAGGAGGGAUUCCCGAAUGGUUUGUCUUGCAAGUGUUCAUCUUGAGACAGGAUCCACAUUAGGUCGGUUAGCUUGGCUUUGAUGGCUAGAAUUUACCACUUUAUAUAUUUAAUUAAAUAUAAACAAGUACUUCGCAAAUAUCUGGUGCCUGGUGGGACUAUCUGAAAACUCUUGUAGCUUGGAAACAUUGAAGCCGGUCUACUCGCUGAUGUCUUGCACACUUUUGUAUAUGCUACACAUGUACAAACUAAUUUACAUGUAGAGUACUAAAGAUAAGAUGAUAACGGUUCUCUAGAAUGGUGACUCCUCUGGGUGUCCCAUGAGGAAUUCUCGCAAUUGCGGUUGUGGCAAGGGCAGGCAC
RNAcentral lists this long non-coding RNA (506 nucleotides) under Elaeis guineensis (African oil palm). RNAcentral's name for it is "long non-coding RNA (EGUI_LNC001172)". Lineage: Eukaryota; Viridiplantae; Streptophyta; Magnoliopsida; Arecales; Arecaceae. The record is from RNAcentral.